This 467-nucleotide ribosomal RNA is filed under the name uncultured bacterium. RNAcentral's name for it is "partial 16S ribosomal RNA". It matches the Rfam family "Bacterial small subunit ribosomal RNA", at positions 28 to 506 of the family's 1533-position model. The record is from RNAcentral.
GACGAACGCUGGCGGCGUGCUUAACACAUGCAAGUCGAACGGAAAGGCCCUGCUUUUGUGGGGUGCUCGAGUGGCGAACGGGUGAGUAGCACGUGAGUAACCUGCCCUUGACUUUGGGAUAACUUCAGGAAACUGGGGCUAAUACCGGAUAGGAGCUCCUGCUGCAUGGUGGGGGUUGGAAAGUUUCGGCGGUGGGGGAUGGACUCGCGGCUUAUCAGCUUGUUGGUGGGGUAGUGGCUUACCAAGGCUUUGACGGGUAGCCGGCCUGAGAGGGUGACCGGCCACAUGGGGACUGAGAUACGGCCCAGACUCCUACGGGAGGCAGCAGUGGGGAAUAUUGCACAAUGGGCGGAAGCCUGAUGCAGCAACGCCGCGUGCGGGAUGACGGCCUUCGGGUUGUAAACCGCUUUCGCCUGUGACGAAGCGUGAGUGACGGUAAUGGGUAAAGAAGCACCGGCUAACUACGU